GACGAACGCUGGCGGCGUGCUUAACACAUGCAAGUCGAACGGGCCUGUCUUCUUUUUUGGGGGUGGGUUGUGUGGCGAACGGGUGAGUAUCACGUGAGUAACCUGCCCUUCGGUCCUGGAUAACCGCUUGAAAGGGCGGCUAAUACGGGGUGGUCCGGUUGGUCCGCAUGGGCUGGUCGGGAUAGAUUCACUGUUUUUGGUGUUUCGGCGGGGGAUGGGCUCGUGGCCUAGCGGCUUGUUGGUGGGGUGAUGGCCUACCAAGGCGGUGACGGGUAGCCGGGCUGGGGGGGUGCGCGGCCACACUGGGGCUGCGAUACGGCCCAGUACGCUGCGGGGGGCAGCAGUGGGGGGUAUUGCACAAUGGGCGGAAGCCUGAUGCAGCGACGUCGGGUGAGAGGGGGAGGCCUUCGGGUUGUGAACCUCUGUUUCCGGUGGUGAAGGGCCUGUCCGUGUGGUGGGGUUGACGGUAGCCGGGGAUGAAGCGCCGGCUAACUACGUG
This 499-nucleotide ribosomal RNA is filed under the name uncultured bacterium. RNAcentral's name for it is "partial 16S ribosomal RNA". It matches the Rfam family "Bacterial small subunit ribosomal RNA", at positions 28 to 507 of the family's 1533-position model. The record is from RNAcentral.